AGUGCUGAUCAGACCUAGUAAGCACAAAGUCGCAAAUAUCCCAGACACCCUGACCACAGACACACAUGUAUACCAAGGACAGGAAUAAAUACCUAAAACUGUAAGGCACUGCCACCUUCUUAGAUGUCUUGGUGAGAGGUCCACUGUUCAGAGGGCACACUGAGAUAUAAGGCGAAGGCCUUUUUGGAUCUGUAGUGUGCUACCUCUUUAAUGGGAAAUCUUAGAGGCUAUCAGUAUUGAAUGGUGACCAGAGGAAAAUACUGCUCUACAUAUAGGUCUGGGCUGUCAUACAAACUGAUCUGCUACUGGGGCCUCAUGACCUAGCAGAUCCAAAAGUAUUCAACAUGUUUGUGGCAGAUGCAAAUGCUGUUUAGAACCUUCGAGAGGUCGCUGUAGAAGCACAAUGCAAAACUUCAGGAUUUUGGAGCAAAACUUUGUCAUCUUUUGCACACACAGUGUUCUCUUUUGAUAGCUCCUGGUGUGCUACUGGACCUUAGUAGAGAUAGAAUGUCUGACUCUGAGCCACUAAGUAACCAUUCAACCUCUUCUGCCCUUCAAGAACUGGGAAAUGUCUGAAAAAACAAGUAAUGAAACGUGUGUAUAGCAGCACUCCAUUACAAGUUGUAGUUUUAUAUACGAGAUUGGUCUCAAGCAAGACCUAAAGGUAAAAGUAAGAGGCUCAGAUUUGCAUGGCUCCUCCUCUUGCUGCAUUAACUGCUGUCUCUCAACGCAAGCAUACUGUAACAUAUUGAUGGAGGAGGAAAAUGCUGAGUCUCGUUUACUGAUAAUUCUAUGUAACAUGCUGGCAUCACCUAAAGUGGAGAACUGCGAGAUUACUGCCCCAUCCAAGAAAACCCUUCAGCAGCCCCAUUCUUCAGGAACCGUGAAGGACUAUGGCAAAGAGAUGAUAAAUAGCCAAAGACGUCAAUGGCACCCAUGGACAUAGUAAGCAUAGUAGGAGCUGAAAAACUAGAAGCAAUGACAAUGUCAACUAUUUUGAGCAAAAAGAAGCAGUGUCUUCGGAACAUUUGAUCAUAAAACCAGAAAUUAAAGGAUGAGAAAAA
Molecule: long non-coding RNA, 1064 nt
Filed under: Homo sapiens (human)
Lineage: Eukaryota; Metazoa; Chordata; Mammalia; Primates; Hominidae
Description: HSALNT0325080
Source: RNAcentral